GCUUCGCCUCCACUCCACCACCUCCUCUCUGCCUCGGCGUCCACCAUUUUCGUACCCGCCCCGAGCGCCCCCCCUCGCCUUCCCGCUGGCCUCGCGUCCCCGAUGGCGGCGACGGCGGCGGUGGCGAUCCACCAGUUCGCCGAGUGCAUCACCUGCCACGCCUGGAGCCCCGACCAGUCCAUGAUUGCCUUUUGUCCAAACAACAAUGAAGUGCAUAUUUAUAAGUUUUUCACAGACAAGUGGGAGAAACUUCAUGUUCUGUCAAAGCAUGAUCAAAUAGUUUCGGGAAUAGAUUGGAGUAGAUCAUCCAACAAAAUUGUAACAGUUUCACAUGAUAGAAAUUCAUAUGUUUGGACACAAGAAGGAUCUGAUUGGAUUCCUACCCUUGUUAUUCUAAAGUUAAACCGUGCAGCUCUGUGUGUUCAAUGGAGCCCGAAAGAAAACAAGUUCGCGGUGGGAAGUGGUGCCAAAUCUGUGUGUGUUUGCUACUAUGAACAAGAAAAUAACUGGUGGAUUAGCAAGGUUAUCAGGAAAAGGCACGAAUCUUCUGUCACUAGUCUCGCAUGGCAUCCAAACAAUAUAUACCUUGCAACAACGUCUACUGAUGGUAAAUGCAGAGUAUUCUCUACUUUUAUCAAGGGUGUGGAUACAAGGGGAUCACAAUCAAGCACUUCAACUGAUUCAAAAUUUGGAGAGCAAAUUGCUCAACUUGAUCUAUCAUCUACCUGGGUAUUUGGUGUAAGGUGGUCAGCAAGUGGAAAAACAUUGGCAUAUGCAGGGCACAACUCCAUGAUUUAUUUCGUUGAUGAAGUUGAAUCGGCUCCUGCUGCACAAAAUUUGGCGCUGCGUGAUCUGCCUCUCCGUGAUGUUCUUUUUGUCUCUGAGCGCACGGUGAUUGGUGUCGGAUUUGACUGCAAUCCUAUGAUCUUUGCUGCUGAUGAGACUGGACUUUGGAGUUUUGUAGGAUUCUUGGAUGAGAGGAAAGCUACUCCAUCAACUUCAAAAGCCUCUCAGGUAUAGUGUUUUUUCUUCAUCAUUAUUAACUUGUGUUAGUCAGUGCUUAUGCACAUUAUACCUUGUCGUUAUUGUUCUAUUGUAUAAGGGUGCUAUUCAGUUCAUCAAAGGGUUGCUUUUUCCUGCAUGGGUGAGUGUUAGGUGAAUUGCUGUUUCGAUAUUGCAGGCCCUGCUUGCAAAACAGUUUGGUGGGCUAUCUGAUUCUGGAUUUCCUUUGAGUCGUAAAGUAUAACCAAACAUUUAUGCUUCUGGUUUUUGUUAAGGCUUUGUUUGGAUGCACCCAACACCAGUCUACUGCAAUGGUGGGCUGGGCUUGGGCCAUAGCAGGCUCUAAUGGAAAUGUUGUCAAAAAGAUUCACAGUGUGUUCUAGUUUUUGACUGGUUUGGAAAAUCGGCACUAGGUUACUAGACAAAGCAGACAUGGUCAGUCUCUCUGAAGCCCUUGGAAAGCUAUAUGGCCAAUCAAAGCAAGGGACCAGUAGUGAUUCCGUUGAACCAUCAAAGCCUCGUGGUGGUGCCCACGAGAAUUGUAUAACCUGCAUCGUACCGUUGACAAAAGGACGUGAUGGUACUAUAAAACGAUUCAGCACAUCAGGAUUGGAUGGUAAGAUUGUGGUAUGGGAUUUGGAAAACCAUAUCACAGUUGCAAAAUAACUCAAAGGAAGGUUCCAUAUCAAUCAAAUUGAAUGAACUUGUGCUGUUACCCAUCGUAAUCAGGGACCAUUCUUGGCAGCGGGUCCUGCAGGUUUUCAAGAUCCAGGGCCAGCCAGGUAGAUUGCUUAUUUUGUUGUACCUGUACACAAAAACAUUUCUUUAGCGUAGGAGCAGCUUGCAUCUAUCAAGUAGCAUCAUUUUUGGUGAGUAAUUUUGUCUUCUGAAUCACAUAUAUUGUGUAACCUGUAUAAUUUUAGCUAGGUAGGCAAUGUCUUGAUUCGGCGUUUUCCAGUGUUCUUUCAGUGCCCCGUGUAAGAUAACCACACGUGGAAUUUAUCCGCGGAUGCUUUACUGGUACUUGUGGACAUCUUGUUUGUUC
This is an RNA transcript of Panicum virgatum (switchgrass), 2047 nucleotides long. It is a transcript of the gene named actin-related protein 2/3 complex subunit 1B-like, with no coding region annotated. The transcript has 15 exons. The record is from RefSeq and is a predicted model, not a curated record. NCBI's taxonomy places the organism in Eukaryota, Viridiplantae, Streptophyta, Magnoliopsida, Poales, Poaceae.